AUGCGGCCACAUUAACAAUCAGUUUACCACGUGCACAUCCGGCCACAUUAACAAUCAGUUCACCAGAAACGGCACAAAGCCAGUACGUACGUACAUAAUCAACGGCAGGAUAACACUUAUUAAGCAGUAGGGGGUCACUUGCAGUACGACACCUUCUCCACCAUGGUAUUCCCAUCCAAGAUUACCACCUUCAGGAAGGACUCCACCGGCUUGAACACCAGGAAGGAGCCGACCUGAAGCUGAUGAGCAUUGACAAAGUGGGACCAGCCAUCCUGAAAGUACGCCUUGCCAUCCUCGAGGAUCCUCAUCCUCACUGUCAAGACACAUCCGUUGCACGAUCUCAGUUCCACGCUGCUACUUUUCGCUGCAGCAUCACCAAGCCAGAGAUCCAGGAAGUUUUUAGGAAUUAGACCGAGUAGGGCUUGCAGGUGCCGCAUUGAUAUGGCCAACCUUCGGCGGCCUCCCCUGCUUCCUGGGAGCAGUAGCAUGUGCAUCCUCUUCAGAGCCCUCCGAUGCAAUCAGCUUCUCCCCUGAUGCAUCCUCCAGCUUGAUCUGUUUAUACGAUGAGCACAUAUCAAAAAUAUAAACCACAUGCAUGGCGGGUAAAAAUCGAAUCACCAAUGCAAUUUUAAACACAUCGUAUUACCUACAUCUACAUCUACCAAGACACCUUACACAGAAGCAUAAAUCAGAUCGAGCAAGUAAGAUUCUUCUUUAGGUGGCCUCAGCUCUAACAUCGUCGACCGGACGACCAUUAAAAUCUCCUCCCAAAUCGAACAAAUUAAUUAAGCUACCGCACAAAAUAAUCCAAAACAGUGCAUCGUAACCGGCCCCAGGGUUUCCGAGUACUUACAGACAUUGUUAUCGCCGCCGCCGUAGAGGAAGUAGUCGAUCUUGAAUCCGCCGCGCGCCGCCGAGGCAGUAGAGAAAGCAGACGCCGCAAAGCUGUGGUGUUUGUCGCUGAGUAGGGGC
This 972-nucleotide long non-coding RNA is filed under the name Brachypodium distachyon (stiff brome). RNAcentral's name for it is "long non-coding RNA (BDIS_LNC003306)". The record is from RNAcentral. Lineage: Eukaryota; Viridiplantae; Streptophyta; Magnoliopsida; Poales; Poaceae.